This 311-nucleotide ribosomal RNA is filed under the name uncultured Methanolinea sp. Its description in RNAcentral is "bacterial SSU rRNA". It matches the Rfam family "Archaeal small subunit ribosomal RNA", at positions 1028 to 1338 of the family's 1478-position model. The record is from RNAcentral. Lineage: Archaea; Methanobacteriati; Methanobacteriota; Methanomicrobia; Methanomicrobiales; Methanoregulaceae.
GUUAAGUCAGGCAACGAGCGAGACCCACGCCCACAGUUGCCAGCGUACUCUCUGGAGUGACGGGUACACUGUGGGGACCGCCGCUGCUAAAGCGGAGGAAGGAAUGGGCAACGGUAGGUCAGUAUGCCCCGAAUAUCCCGGGCUACACGCGAGCUACAAUGGUUGGUACAAUGGGUAUCUACCCCGAAAGGGGACGGGAAUCUCCUAAACCCAUCCGUAGUUCGGAUUGUGGGCUGCAACUCGCCCACAUGAAGCUGGAAUCUGCAGUAAUCGUGUCUCAAAAUGGCACGGUGAAUAUGUCCCUGCUCCUU